This 460-nucleotide ribosomal RNA is filed under the name uncultured bacterium. Its description in RNAcentral is "partial 16S ribosomal RNA". It matches the Rfam family "Bacterial small subunit ribosomal RNA", at positions 338 to 795 of the family's 1533-position model. The record is from RNAcentral.
CCUACGGGUGGCUGCAGUGAGGAAUAUUGGUCAAUGGGCGCGAGCCUGAACCAGCCAAGUAGCGUGAAGGAUGACUGCCCUACGGGUUGUAAACUUCUUUUAUAAAGGAAUAAAGUGAGGCACGUGUGCCUUUUUGUAUGUACUUUAUGAAUAAGUGUCGGCUAACUCCGUGCCAGCCGCCGCGGUAAUACGGUGGCUCCGCGCGUUAUCCGGAUUUGUUGGGUUUAAAGGGAGCGUAGAUGGGUUGUUAAGUCAGUUGUGAAAGUUUGCGGCUCAACCGUAAAAUUGCAAUUGAUACUGGCAGCCUUGAGUACAGUUGAGGUAGGCGGAAUUCGUGGUGUAGCGGUGAAAUGCUUAGAUAUCACGAAGAACUCCGAUUGCGAAGGCAGCUUACUAAACUGCAACUGACAUUGAUGCUCGAAAGUGUGGGUAUCAAACAGGAUUAGAUACCCCAGUAGUC